RNAcentral lists this long non-coding RNA (891 nucleotides) under Olea europaea subsp. europaea. The record is from RNAcentral. Lineage: Eukaryota; Viridiplantae; Streptophyta; Magnoliopsida; Lamiales; Oleaceae.
CACCACACAAUAUCUCUCACGCUUUAAACCCUCCGACACACCAACAUGAUACAACUCAGAGAGCUUAUAAAGAAGUUUUAGUACAACCACAAGAUCCAUAACUAUCUCACGAUUUGAGAUAAGAAUAAACCCUGAAAGGGAGGCUUCUAUUAUGGGUGCACAAAAAGAUUGGCUAACUUUUCCUAUUUUGAAGAUUGAAAACUCUAAUAUAAAGUGGGAAAUGCAGAAGCUAUUCUAACUAAUGGGAUAAUAAUCUUGCUAGUCUAUUAUUAUCCUUUUCUUUUUUCAUUUUUUUAUUAAUGACGCAGCAUCAUGUUUGAGAAAACAUAUUAGGAAGCGACCUCAAUUCUUAUUUUCUUCGUUCCAACAUUUUCUGGCAAUGAAAACGAUAACAUAACCUCCGAAGAUUGUUUCCGUUUUUGUCACCUUAGCCGGCUUCGAUACAUUGGAGCCAAUAAGAUGAGAAAAAUUAAGCCGAGCUUUUCGGCAGUGCAACUUAAAAGCCGCUCGAUCAUAAGCCACUGCUGCAUCCUCCGACGUCUCAUAUGUGCCCAGCCAAAGUCUUCUGCCUUUCUCCGUGGGAUUCCUUAUUUCUGCCGCAAACUUCCCCCACGGCCGCCGCCUCACGCCUCUGUCGCACGUUGGUUCCACGUACAGAUUCCGACUCUUCUGCUACAGUCCCAUCACAGCAUAAAUUAUCAUCAAAUAUUAGUAUUCCUUGAGGGCAUUCUGCAAGAAAUGAACUGUUGAAGCCGGAAUUUUGGCUGUAAAUUUGUUCAUUGCAUGAACUUAUUUUUGUAAAGUUGUCAACAGGGAAAUCAUCAGAAUCAUUUAAAAGAUAAUUUUGUAUGGACUGAAGAAGGGCCAUGUCCGAAUCUGAAAUGGGUUUAG